RNAcentral lists this long non-coding RNA (434 nucleotides) under Gossypium raimondii (Peruvian cotton). Its description in RNAcentral is "long non-coding RNA (GRAI_LNC008028)". The record is from RNAcentral. Lineage: Eukaryota; Viridiplantae; Streptophyta; Magnoliopsida; Malvales; Malvaceae.
AUUUGACAAACCUCAUCAACCAGUAUAAGUGGAACCAUACUCUGAAUUUGGCAUAAACCUUGUUCCAAACAAAUUCUUCAUUUUUUGAAAUCUUGAAACCAUGACAUUAGUGAGACAACAUAAAUUAAAGGGGAAAAGUGUAUUUAAGCUCAUAGGCACGAGUAAACAAAUUUUGAGGGAUUUGUCUCUUUGAAAGAGGACAAUAAUGAGAACUCGAGCUCUUUGGUAGACUACAUAAAAUAUCAUCAGAUUGUUCUUAAAGUUGGCCUUUUAAAUAGUAAGGUCAUAAACACACAGUCAUUGCAACAAUCACAAAAAUAUAUGGUUAACUACCAAAAAUACACGCACCAGAUAGAGUUUGCUGGGUUCACUGUAGUGCUGAAGAAGUAACUUUGCUCUCUCAAUCGCAGUGUUGAGUAAGCGUCAACUGCUGC